This 497-nucleotide ribosomal RNA is filed under the name uncultured bacterium. RNAcentral's name for it is "partial 16S ribosomal RNA". It matches the Rfam family "Bacterial small subunit ribosomal RNA", at positions 28 to 507 of the family's 1533-position model. The record is from RNAcentral.
GAUGAACGCUGGCGGCGUGCCUAAUACAUGCAAGUAGAACGCUGAAGGAAGGAGCUUGCUCUUUCCGGAUGAGUUGCGAACGGGUGAGUAACGCGUAGGUAACCUGCCUGGUAGCGGGGGAUAACUAUUGGAAACGAUAGCUAAUACCGCAUAACAGUAGAUGUUGCAUGAUAUCUACUUAAAAGGUGCAAUUGCACCACUACCAGAUGGACCUGCGUUGUAUUAGCUAGUUGGUGAGGUAACGGCUCACCAAGGCGACGAUACAUAGCCGACCUGAGAGGGUGAUCGGCCACACUGGGACUGAGACACGGCCCAGACUCCUACGGGAGGCAGCAGUAGGGAAUCUUCGGCAAUGGACGGAAGUCUGACCGAGCAACGCCGCGUGAGUGAAGAAGGUUUUCGGAUCGUAAAGCUCUGUUUUAAGAGAAGAACGAGUGUGAGAGUGGAAAGUUCACACUGUGACGGUAUCUUACCAGAAAGGGACGGCUAACUACGUG